UACGGAGGGUGCAAGCGUUAUCCGGAUUCACUGGGUUUAAAGGGUGCGUAGGCGGGCAGUUAAGUCAGUGGUGAAAUCUCUGGGCUCAACCCGGAAACUGCCAUUGAUACUAUCUGUCUUGAAUAUUGUGGAGGUGAGCGGAAUAUGUCAUGUAGCGGUGAAAUGCUUAGAUAUGACAUAGAACACCGAUUGCGUAGGCAGCUCGCUACACAUAUAUUGACGCUGAGGCACGAAAGCGUGGGGAUCAAACAGG
RNAcentral lists this ribosomal RNA (253 nucleotides) under uncultured bacterium. RNAcentral's name for it is "partial 16S ribosomal RNA". It matches the Rfam family "Bacterial small subunit ribosomal RNA", at positions 524 to 776 of the family's 1533-position model. RNAcentral also lists the same sequence under 1 other name. The record is from RNAcentral.